GCGAACGCUGGCGGCAGGCUUAACACCUGCAAGUCGAGCGGGCAUCCUUGUGGUGUCAGCGGCAGACGGGUGCGUAACGCGUGGGAACGUGCCCUUCGGUUCGGAAUAACUCAGGGAAACUUGAGCUAAUACCGGAUACGUGCGAGAGCAGAAAGGUUUAUCUGCCGAAGGAUCGGCCCGCGUCUGAUUAGCUAGUUGGUGAGGUUACGGCUCACCAAGGCGACGAUCAGUAGCUGGUCUGAGAGGAUGAUCAGCCACACUGGGACUGAGACACGGCCCAGACUCCUACGGGAGGCAGCAGUGGGGAAUAUUGGACAAUGGGGGCAACCCUGAUCCAGCCAUGCCGCGUGAGUGAUGACGGCCUUAGGGUUGUAAAGCUCUUUUCUCCGGGACGAUAAUGACGGUACCGGAGGAAUAAGCCCCGGCUAACUUCGUG
RNAcentral lists this ribosomal RNA (436 nucleotides) under uncultured bacterium. Its description in RNAcentral is "partial 16S ribosomal RNA". It matches the Rfam family "Bacterial small subunit ribosomal RNA", at positions 29 to 507 of the family's 1533-position model. The record is from RNAcentral.